This 406-nucleotide ribosomal RNA is filed under the name uncultured bacterium. RNAcentral describes it as "bacterial SSU rRNA". It matches the Rfam family "Bacterial small subunit ribosomal RNA", at positions 100 to 507 of the family's 1533-position model. The record is from RNAcentral.
CACGGGUGAGUUAACACGUAGGUAAUCUGCCUUCAGGUCUGACAUACCCCGAGAAAUCGGGGCUAAUAGCAGAUGAUGCAGCGGCUUGACAUCAAGACAGUUGUUAAAGCUUCGGCGCCUGAAGAUGAGCCUGCGUCUGAUUAGCUAGUUGGCGGAGUAAUAGCCCACCAAGGCGACGAUCAGUAGCUGGUCUGAGAGGAUGAUCAGCCACACUGGAACUGAGACACGGUCCAGACUCCUACGGGAGGCAGCAGUAAGGAAUAUUGCUCAAUGGGAGAAAUCCUGAAGCAGCAACGCCGCGUGAGGGAUGAAGGGCUUUUGCUCGUAAACCUCUGUAGUGAGGGAAAAAAUUUCCAUUCUAUGGAAUAUGAUGGUACCUCAAAAGUAAGCCCCGGCUAACUACGUG